RNAcentral lists this ribosomal RNA (549 nucleotides) under uncultured bacterium. Its description in RNAcentral is "bacterial SSU rRNA". It matches the Rfam family "Bacterial small subunit ribosomal RNA", at positions 355 to 896 of the family's 1533-position model. The record is from RNAcentral.
UGGGGAAUAUUGCACAAUGGGCGCAAGCCUGAUGCAGCCAUGCCGCGUGUGUGAAGAAGGCCUUCGGGUUGUAAAGCACUUUCAGCGGGGAGGAAGGCGAUAAGGUUAAUAACCUUGUCGAUUGACGUUACCCGCAGAAGAAGCACCGGCUAACUCCGUGCCAGCAGCCGCNNUAAUACGGAGGGUGCAAGCGUUAAUCGGAAUUACUGGGCGUAAAGCGCACGCAGGCGGUCUGUCAAGUCGGAUGUGAAAUCCCCGGGCUCAACCUGGGAACUGCAUUCGAAACUGGCAGGCUAGAGUCUUGUAGAGGGGGGUAGAAUUCCAGGUGUAGCGGUGAAAUGCGUAGAGAUCUGGAGGAAUACCGGUGGCGAAGGCGGCCCCCUGGACAAAGACUGACGCUCAGGUGCGAAAGCGUGGGGAGCAAACAGGAUUAGAUACCCUGGUAGUCCACGCUGUAAACGAUGUCGAUUUGGAGGUUGUGCCCUUGAGGCGUGGCUUCCGGAGCUAACGCGUUAAAUCGACCGCCUGGGGAGUACGGCCGCAAGGUUA